This 328-nucleotide unclassified non-coding RNA is filed under the name soil metagenome. RNAcentral describes it as "partial contains 5.8S ribosomal RNA, internal transcribed spacer 2, and large subunit ribosomal RNA". The stretch from base 1 to 119 matches the Rfam family "5.8S ribosomal RNA", at positions 35 to 154 of the family's 154-position model. The record is from RNAcentral.
GAUGAAGAACGUAGCGAAAUGCGAUACGUAAUGUGAAUUGCAAAUUCAGUGAAUCAUCGAGUCUUUGAACGCACAUUGCGCCCCUUGGUAUCCCGAGGGGCAUGCCUGUUCGAGCGUCAUUUCACCACUCAAGCCUGGCUUGGUGUUGGGCGACGUCCCCUUUGGGGACGCGCCUCGAAACGCUCGGCGGCGUGGCACCGGCUUUAAGCGUAGCAGAAUCUUUCGCUUUGGAAGUCGGGGCCCCGUCUGCCGGAAGACCUACUCGCAAGGUUGACCUCGGAUCAGGCAGGGAUACCCGCUGAACUUAAGCAUAUCAAUAAGCGGAGGA